GGGGAUGCAUUGAUUCGACAGGAAAUGCACAUUGAAAAACUGCAAGCCGACUUUGAUUAUUAGUCGCUAAACAGAAUCAAAAUAUAACUGCUAGAAAUAGCGUUAAUACAUUCAUCGCGAAGGCAAAAGCCGGACUCGAUGGAAUGUUUAGACAACCAGCUUUGGCAUACGCCUAAGGCUUAACGUCUUGUUCAUAUAGUCUUUUCUCAGUGGGAUUAUAUGGGCACAAAUUUAGCUGAGAAAUAGAUUAGGAAAUUCGGUUUUCGUCCUUAUCUGAAUUUAUAAAACCUUGGCUUUAAUCAUGCGUGUUGAUUCGCAAAGUUUAAAGUGACUUUCAAAAAUCGACUAAGCUUGUAGAGGUUUAAAAUGUAAUUCUUGGACUCCGGAUCAUUCCCGGACAUCUCCACCG
RNAcentral lists this transfer-messenger RNA (409 nucleotides) under Patescibacteria group. RNAcentral describes it as "2-01-FULL-38-26 sp001782075 Standard tmRNA". It matches the Rfam family "transfer-messenger RNA". Rfam says of the family: Bacterial tmRNA, also known as 10Sa RNA or SsrA, is named for its dual tRNA and mRNA-like properties. The record is from RNAcentral. RNAcentral also lists the same sequence under 1 other name.